This 779-nucleotide ribosomal RNA is filed under the name Ruegeria sp. RNAcentral describes it as "bacterial SSU rRNA". It matches the Rfam family "Bacterial small subunit ribosomal RNA", at positions 56 to 883 of the family's 1533-position model. The record is from RNAcentral. Lineage: Bacteria; Pseudomonadati; Pseudomonadota; Alphaproteobacteria; Rhodobacterales; Roseobacteraceae.
UGCAGUCGAGCGCGCCCUUCGGGGUGAGCGGCGGACGGGUUAGUAACGCGUGGGAAUAUACCCUUUUCUGCGGAAUAGCCUCUGGAAACGGAGAGUAAUACCGCAUACGCCCUUCGGGGGAAAGAUUUAUCGGGGAAGGAUUAGCCCGCGUUAGAUUAGGUAGUUGGUGGGGUAAUGGCCUACCAAGCCUACGAUCUAUAGCUGGUUUUAGAGGAUGAUCAGCAACACUGGGACUGAGACACGGCCCAGACUCCUACGGGAGGCAGCAGUGGGGAAUCUUGGACAAUGGGCGCAAGCCUGAUCCAGCCAUGCCGCGUGAGUGAUGAAGGCCUUAGGGUCGUAAAGCUCUUUCGCCUGUGAAGAUAAUGACGGUAGCAGGUAAAGAAACCCCGGCUAACUCCGUGCCAGCAGCCGCGGUAAUACGGAGGGGGUUAGCGUUGUUCGGAAUUACUGGGCGUAAAGCGCACGUAGGCGGACUGGAAAGUUGGGGGUGAAAUCCCAGGGCUCAACCCUGGAACUGCCUCCAAAACUAUCAGUCUAGAGUUCGAGAGAGGUGAGUGGAAUUCCGAGUGUAGAGGUGAAAUUCGUAGAUAUUCGGAGGAACACCAGUGGCGAAGGCGGCUCACUGGCUCGAUACUGACGCUGAGGUGCGAAAGUGUGGGGAGCAAACAGGAUUAGAUACCCUGGUAGUCCACACCGUAAACGAUGAAUGCCAGUCGUCGGGUAGCAUGCUAUUCGGUGACACACCUAACGGAUUAAGCAUUCCGCCUGGGGAGUAC